CCCGGGCGCGUCGUACCGUCAGGACGAACGCUGGCGGCGUCGCCUAACUACAUGCAAGUAGAACGCUGAAGAGAGGAGCGUUGCUCUUCUUGGAUGAGUUGCGAACGGGUGAGUAACGCGUAGGUAACCUGCCUUGUAGCGGGGGAGUAACUAUUGGAAACGAUAGCUAAUACCGCAUAACAAUGGAUGACACAUGUCAUUUUAUUUUGUAAAGGGGCGAAAUUGCUCCACUACAAGAUGGACCUGCGUUGUAUUAGCUAGUAGGUGAGGUAAUGGCUCACCUAGGCGACGAUACAUAGCCGACCUGAGAGGGUGAUCGGCCACACUGGGACUGAGACACGGUCCAGACUCCUACGGGAGGGCAGCAGUAGGGAAUCUUCGGCAAUGGGGGCAACCCUGACCGAGCAACGCCGCGUGAGUGAAGAAGGUUUUCGGAUCGUAAAGCUCUGUUGUAAGUCAAGAACGGGUGUGAGAGUGGAAAGUUCACACUGUGACGGUAGCUUACCACGAAAGGGACGGCUAACUACGUGCCGUCGACGCGGCCG
Molecule: ribosomal RNA, 545 nt
Filed under: uncultured bacterium
Lineage: Bacteria
Description: bacterial SSU rRNA
Rfam family: Bacterial small subunit ribosomal RNA
Source: RNAcentral